This 333-nucleotide long non-coding RNA is filed under the name Rosa chinensis. RNAcentral's name for it is "sRNA RchiOBHm_Chr5g0059681". The record is from RNAcentral. Lineage: Eukaryota; Viridiplantae; Streptophyta; Magnoliopsida; Rosales; Rosaceae.
GCCGAUUCCCGGCCAUUCCGGCCACCUCCGGUCCCCAUCUCGCCGUCGAAGGUUCGGUUUUCAUCACUGAUCAUUUCCCCUAUGGCCUUGUAUCACGAUUUGUUGUGUAGAUGCCGAAUCGACGAAUUGAAAUUCUAGGGUUCUUGAGGAUUUCUGGGUUUUGUUCAUUGAUCGAUUUCGGCCGUUUUUAAUUGUUAUUUGGGAAUGCUGUAGUUGAGAAGUUGAAUCAGUGUGUUGAGUAGGUGCUGCUGCCAAAGUUUGGUGGCCAUCGGAGCUGGUGGCGGUGGCGGCGGUGCCGCCACUGUGGGCGGCGGUAGCGGCGGCUAGGGUAGC